This 429-nucleotide ribosomal RNA is filed under the name Chloroflexota bacterium. Its description in RNAcentral is "Chloroflexi bacterium partial 16S ribosomal RNA". It matches the Rfam family "Bacterial small subunit ribosomal RNA", at positions 355 to 776 of the family's 1533-position model. Lineage: Bacteria; Bacillati; Chloroflexota. The record is from RNAcentral.
UAGGGAAUCUUCGGCAAUGGACGAAAGUCUGACCGAGCAACGCCGCGUGAGUGAAGAAGGUUUUCGGAUCGUAAAACUCUGUUGUUAGAGAAGAACAAGGACGUUAGUAACUGAACGUCCCCUGACGGUAUCUAACCAGAAAGCCACGGCUAACUACGUGCCAGCAGCCGCGGUAAUACGUAGGUGGCAAGCGUUGUCCGGAUUUAUUGGGCGUAAAGCGAGCGCAGGCGGUUUCUUAAGUCUGAUGUGAAAGCCCCCGGCUCAACCGGGGAGGGUCAUUGGAAACUGGGAGACUUGAGUGCAGAAGAGGAGAGUGGAAUUCCAUGUGUGGCAGUGAAAUGAGUAGAUAUAUGGAGGAACACCAGUGGCGAAGGCGGCUCUCUGGUCUGUAACUGACGCUGAGGCUCGAAAGCGUGGGGAGCAAACAGG